RNAcentral lists this microRNA (23 nucleotides) under Panagrellus redivivus. RNAcentral describes it as "prd-miR-7890-5p". The record is from miRBase by way of RNAcentral. Lineage: Eukaryota; Metazoa; Nematoda; Chromadorea; Rhabditida; Panagrolaimidae.
UUUGUGUUCGGUGAUCUGACCAG